GGCAAUUUGGUGACCAGGCUGAAUUAAGUAAUUUUUUAAAGGUGUCUCUAUUUUUCAAGAUAGGCGAGUGAAAGACUGUUUUCAGUGGGUGCUGUUGGGGCCUGAUGCAAACCAUAUUGACUUGACCUGUGGUUUGUGCACAGAAAAAGAAUAGCUAAUGUUUUGCCCACCUUCAAUAGUUACAGGUCGGUUCACCCAGAAGCCAGGGGGCAUCUCAGUGAAGCGCUCACUGAAGACACAGGAGUUGGGACCAGUGUGGCAGGAAGUCCUCUCCCACUGACCACAGGCAACGAGAGCCUGGACAUCACCAUCGUCAGGCACCUCCAGUACUGCACCCAACUCGUGCAGCAAAUUGUUUUCUCAAGCAAAACCCCAUUUGUGGCAAGAAGUCUCUUAGAGAAGCUUUCUAGGCAGAUCCAAGUGAUGGAGAAACUCGCAGCUGUCAGUGAUGAGAACAUAGGAAAUAUCAGUUCUGUUGUGGAAGCCAUACCAGAAUUUCACAAAAAGCUGUCUUUGCUGUCAUUCUGGACCAAGUGCUGCAGCCCUGUUGGUGUCUACCACAGCCCAGCGGACAGAGUGAUGAAGCAGCUGGAGGCCAGCUUUGCCAGAACUGUCAACAAAGAAUAUCCAGGACUUGCAGACCCAGUGUUUCGAACCCUGGUGUCCCAAAUUCUGGACCGGGCUGAGCCUCUGCUUUCCUCCAGCCUGUCCUCGGAAGUCGUCACUGUUUUCCAGUAUUACAGUUACUUCACCAGCCACGGCGUCAGUGACCUGGAGAGUUACCUGAGCCAGCUGGCCAGGCA
This 803-nucleotide small RNA is filed under the name Pan troglodytes (chimpanzee). Its description in RNAcentral is "retained intron". The record is from RNAcentral. Lineage: Eukaryota; Metazoa; Chordata; Mammalia; Primates; Hominidae.